Molecule: ribosomal RNA, 440 nt
Filed under: uncultured bacterium
Lineage: Bacteria
Description: partial 16S ribosomal RNA
Rfam family: Bacterial small subunit ribosomal RNA
Source: RNAcentral
CCUACGGGAGGCAGCAGUGGGGAAUAUUGCACAAUGGGGGAAACCCUGAUGCAGCGACGCCGCGUGAGUGAAGCAGUAUUUCGGUAUGUAAAGCCCUUUCAGUAGGGAAGAAAAUGACGGUACCUGACUAAGAAGCCCCGGCGAACUACGUGCCCGCAGCCGCGGUCAUACGUAGGGGGCAAGCGUUAUCCGGAUUGACUGGGGGUAAAGGGAGCGGAGGUGGCCAGACAAGUCAGAAGUGAAAGACAAGGGCUCAAGCCUGGUACUGCAUUUGAAACUGCCGAGCUAGAGUGCAGGAGAGGUAAGCGGAAUGCCUGGUGUAGCGGUGAAAUGCGUAGAUAUUAGGAGGAACACCAGUGGCGAAGGCGGCUUACUGGACUAUAACUGACGCUGAGGCACGAAAGCGUGGGUAGCAAACAGGAUUAGAUACCCCAGUAGUC